Molecule: ribosomal RNA, 253 nt
Filed under: uncultured bacterium
Lineage: Bacteria
Description: partial 16S ribosomal RNA
Rfam family: Bacterial small subunit ribosomal RNA
Source: RNAcentral
UACGUAGGGUGCAAGCGUUGUCCGGAAUUAUUGGGCGUAAAGGGCUCGUAGGCGGUUUGUUGCGUCGGGAGUGAAAACUUACAGCUUAACUGUGAGCGUGCUUCCGAUACGGGCAGACUUGAGGUAUUCAGGGGAGAACGGAAUUCCUGGUGUAGCGGUGAAAUGCGCAGAUAUCAGGAGGAACACCGGUGGCGAAGGCGGUUCUCUGGGAAUAUCCUGACGCUGAGGAGCGAAAGUGUGGGGAGCGAACAGG